UACACUCCUGCGGGAGGCAGCAGUGGGGAAUAUUGGACAAUGGGCGCAAGCCUGAUCCAGCCAUGCCGCGUGAGUGAUGAAGGCCCUAGGGUUGUAAAGCUCUUUCACCGGUGAAGAUAAUGACGGUAACCGGAGAAGAAGCCCCGGCUAACUUCGUGCCAGCAGCCGCGGUAAUACGAAGGGGGCUAGCGUUGUUCGGAUUUACUGGGCGUAAAGCGCACGUAGGCGGACUAUUAAGUCAGGGGUGAAAUCCCGGGGCUCAACCCCGGAACUGCCUUUGAUACUGGUAGUCGUGAGUUCGAGAGAGGUGAGUGGAAUUCCGAGUGUAGAGGUGAAAUUCGUAGAUAUUCGGAGGAACACCAGUGGCGAAGGCGGCUCACUGGCUCGAUACUGACGCUGAGGUGCGAAAGCGUGGGGAGCAAACAGGAUUAGAUACCCGAGUAGUCCCAUG
RNAcentral lists this ribosomal RNA (451 nucleotides) under uncultured organism. RNAcentral's name for it is "partial 16S ribosomal RNA". It matches the Rfam family "Bacterial small subunit ribosomal RNA", at positions 332 to 799 of the family's 1533-position model. The record is from RNAcentral.